CUCUGGGUCACCUCCCACCCGUGUUUAUUUUACCUUGUUGCUUCGGCGGGCCCGCCUUAACUGGCCGCCGGGGGGCUUACGCCCCCGGGCCCGCGCCCGCCGAAGACACCCUCGAACUCUGUCUGAAGAUUGAAGUCUGAGUGAAAAUAUAAAUUAUUUAAAACUUUCAACAACGGAUCUCUUGGUUCCGGCAUCGAUGAAGAACGCAGCGAAAUGCGAUACGUAAUGUGAAUUGCAAAUUCAGUGAAUCAUCGAGUCUUUGAACGCACAUUGCGCCCCCUGGUAUUCCGGGGGGCAUGCCUGUCCGAGCGUCAUUGCUGCCCUCAAGCCCGGCUUGUGUGUUGGGCCCCGUCCCCCGAUCUCCGGGGGACGGGCCCGAAAGGCAGCGGCGGCACCGCGUCCGGUCCUCGAGCGUAUGGGGCUUUGUCACCCGCUCUGUAGGCCCGGCCGGCGCUUGCCGAUCAACCCAAAUUUUUAUCCAGGUUGACCUCGGAUCAGGUAGGGAUACCCGCUGAACUUAAGCAUAUCAAUAAGCGGAGGAA
This 542-nucleotide ribosomal RNA is filed under the name Penicillium crustosum. RNAcentral's name for it is "eukaryotic LSU rRNA". The stretch from base 162 to 314 matches the Rfam family "5.8S ribosomal RNA". RNAcentral also lists the same sequence under 1 other name. The record is from RNAcentral. Lineage: Eukaryota; Fungi; Ascomycota; Eurotiomycetes; Eurotiales; Aspergillaceae.